AGAUUAUUAUUUAUUUAUGUUUUUUGUGAUUACCAUUUUCAUAAAAAGCAAAAAGUAAAAAAAAACAUCAUAGACGUGGAUGAAUAAAAUUGUACUUUAUUGAUGAUAGUAAGAAAAUGCCCGACAAUGUUCACUUCUCUCUUAGGCAUAGGAGAUAGAUUUUUCUUAAAAUAAUGGAAACAAAUUACUUAGAACGGUGCAUAAUAACGG
Molecule: long non-coding RNA, 210 nt
Filed under: Lathyrus oleraceus (garden pea)
Lineage: Eukaryota; Viridiplantae; Streptophyta; Magnoliopsida; Fabales; Fabaceae
Description: Pisum sativum (pea) long non-coding RNA (PSAT_LNC031719)
Source: RNAcentral